This is a non-coding RNA of Ciona intestinalis (vase tunicate), 1142 nucleotides long. The record is from RefSeq and is a predicted model, not a curated record. Lineage: Eukaryota; Metazoa; Chordata; Ascidiacea; Phlebobranchia; Cionidae.
GCAAAGCAAACUUAAAAUAAUUUAGGAUAUUUGGAAAGAGCAUGUUUUAGAUAGUUUACUUCGAAAUCGUCAUGUGAAUUUUAAAAUUCCGUUUGCCGUCACAGUUUUGGUAGACACAAACUGUUAAAAACGGCUGUCAGUACACCACUCGAAAUUGGACAGAUAAAGUAUCUGCAACAUUUGAUUCGUCUCCUACUACGACAGGAUGUAAAAACAACUUAAAAAUCUGCAAACCAAGGUAAUCCUAGUACAUAGUAUACAUUGUAGCAGUUUUUAGCGGCCAUUUUGGAUAAUUUUUUGAUGCAGCUACCACGACAAUAAAAUUUGGGCAUUCUAGUUAGAUAAAAUCUGUUUACACAAUAAAAUUUAUAAAUUUCCAAAAAAUACUUUUAAUCAUUAUUAAUAUUCAUCAUAAAACGUAUUUAUGUAGCUUUGUAUAUAUCUAUAUUAAUUUAUAGCAACAUAUCCAAAGCUGAUGUAAUACGAAGUUCUAUAAGACUUAAAUACGUUUUUAUAAAAAAAAGUAUUAAUUUUCAUACAAGUUUGAAUAAAGUAAAUCAAAUUACAUGACUAUAUCAGGUGUAUUUGUCACUAAGGCUGGUUUACACCAUAGCUAUUGAAAUAUGUAGCUGUGUAAUGUAUUGAAAUAUGACGUAAAAUACUUUUCCAUAUCAAUAAAAUAUAUCCUUCGCUCGCAUGCUUUGCGGUUUGUGUAAACCGGCCCUAAGUAGGUGGAAAAAAUGCGCAACUGCUGUUUAGUAACAUAUGGUUUUAACUCAAACAAAUUUAAGCUUAGAUUUAAUAUUUAGCAGAGUCUGUAUAUAUAUGUUUAUAUACCGACUCUGGUUUUUAGAUCUUAACUUAAAUAUUGGUCAACAAAGCACCAUACAUACCCCACCUACAAACAACAUAUAUCGCAUCUAAUUAUUUUCACGAAAAAAUAUUUAUUACGAUCUGCAACAGAAAUGUUGAAUUUCAAGAAUUCAGAGAAAUGAAAUGACAAAUUAGUUGUAAUGUAAAUCUAGUAUGAAUCAUGGACACCAAGUUUUGAGAUCAAAAUAAGAAAAAGAUUGCACAUAAAAUAAGUUUCAAUACAAAGUAGCGUUAACACCUUUCCAAAUUGGAAUAUCUUAAUUUUUCAA